RNAcentral lists this ribosomal RNA (311 nucleotides) under uncultured Barnesiella sp. RNAcentral's name for it is "bacterial SSU rRNA". It matches the Rfam family "Bacterial small subunit ribosomal RNA", at positions 462 to 773 of the family's 1533-position model. The record is from RNAcentral. Lineage: Bacteria; Pseudomonadati; Bacteroidota; Bacteroidia; Bacteroidales; Barnesiellaceae.
UGGGAGUGUGAGCGUACCCGGAGAAAAAGCAUCGGCUAACUCCGUGCCAGCAGCCGCGGUAAUACGGAGGAUGCGAGCGUUAUCCGGAUUUAUUGGGUUUAAAGGGUGCGUAGGCGGCGAGUUAAGUCAGCGGUAAAAGCCCGGGGCUCAACCCCGGCCCGCCGUUGAAACUGGCUGGCUUGAGUUGGGGAAAGGCAGGCGGAAUGCGCGGUGUAGCGGUGAAAUGCAUAGAUAUCGCGCAGAACCCCGAUUGCGAAGGCAGCCUGCCGGCCCCACACUGACGCUGAGGCACGAAAGCGUGGGUAUCGAAC